AGAGUUUGAUCAUGGCUCAGAUUGAACGCUGGCGGCAGGCCUAACACAUGCAAGUCGAACGGUAACAGGAAGCAGCUUGCUGCUUCGCUGACGAGUGGCGGACGGGUGAGUAAUGUCUGGGAAGCUGCCUGAUGGAGGGGGAUAACUACUGGAAACGGUAGCUAAUACCGCAUAAUGUCGCAAGACCAAAGAGGGGGACCUUCGGGCCUCUUGCCAUCGGAUGUGCCCAGAUGGGAUUAGCUUGUUGGUGGGGUAACGGCUCACCAAGGCGACGAUCCCUAGCUGGUCUGAGAGGAUGACCAGCCACACUGGAACUGAGACACGGUCCAGACUCCUACGGGAGGCAGCAGUGGGGAAUAUUGCACAAUGGGCGCAAGCCUGAUGCAGCCAUGCCGCGUGUAUGAAGAAGGCCUUCGGGUUGUAAAGUACUUUCAGCGGGGAGGAAGGGAGUAAAGUUAAUACCUUUGCUCAUUGACGUUACCCGCAGAAGAAGCACCGGCUAACUCCGUGCCAGCAGCCGCGGUAAUACGGAGGGUGCAAGCGUUAAUCGGAAUUACUGGGCGUAAAGCGCACGCAGGCGGUUUGUUAAGUCAGAUGUGAAAUCCCCGGGCUCAACCUGGGAACUGCAUCUGAUACUGGCAAGCUUGAGUCUCGUAGAGGGGGGUAGAAUUCCAGGUGUAGCGGUGAAAUGCGUAGAGAUCUGGAGGAAUACCGGUGGCGAAGGCGGCCCCCUGGACGAAGACUGACGCUCAGGUGCGAAAGCGUGGGGAGCAAACAGGAUUAGAUACCCUGGUAGUCCACGCCGUAAACGAUGUCGACUUGGAGGUUGUGCCCUUGAGGCGUGGCUUCCGGAGCUAACGCGUUAAGUCGACCGCCUGGGGAGUACGGCCGCAAGGUUAAAACUCAAAUGAAUUGACGGGGGCCCGCACAAGCGGUGGAGCAUGUGGUUUAAUUCGAUGCAACGCGAAGAACCUUACCUGGUCUUGACAUCCACGGAAGUUUUCAGAGAUGAGAAUGUGCCUUCGGGAACCGUGAGACAGGUGCUGCAUGGCUGUCGUCAGCUCGUGUUGUGAAAUGUUGGGUUAAGUCCCGCAACGAGCGCAACCCUUAUCCUUUGUUGCCAGCGGUCCGGCCGGGAACUCAAAGGAGACUGCCAGUGAUAAACUGGAGGAAGGUGGGGAUGACGUCAAGUCAUCAUGGCCCUUACGACCAGGGCUACACACGUGCUACAAUGGCGCAUACAAAGAGAAGCGACCUCGCGAGAGCAAGCGGACCUCAUAAAGUGCGUCGUAGUCCGGAUUGGAGUCUGCAACUCGACUCCAUGAAGUCGGAAUCGCUAGUAAUCGUGGAUCAGAAUGCCACGGUGAAUACGUUCCCGGGCCUUGUACACACCGCCCGUCACACCAUGGGAGUGGGUUGCAAAAGAAGUAGGUAGCUUAACCUUCGCAGGGCGCUUACCACUUUGUGAUUCAUGACUGGGGUGAAGUCGGAACAAGGUAACCGUAGGGGAACCUGCGGUUG
RNAcentral lists this ribosomal RNA (1521 nucleotides) under metagenome. RNAcentral describes it as "bacterial SSU rRNA". It matches the Rfam family "Bacterial small subunit ribosomal RNA". The record is from RNAcentral.